Molecule: RNA transcript, 1254 nt
Organism: Pistacia vera
Lineage: Eukaryota; Viridiplantae; Streptophyta; Magnoliopsida; Sapindales; Anacardiaceae
Gene name: lipid phosphate phosphatase gamma
Exons: 3
Source: RefSeq, a predicted model, not a curated record
UUCUAGAGAGACAAACACAAUCUUAAUACCGACUACCUAACUCUUCUCCCACUCCUCUCAAACUCAGAUCUCUCCAACUAUACCCUCACCACGCCGCGAUGGCUCUGAAGGCCGUAACACUGACGCACGUGCGGUACCAUAAGGGCGAUCGGCUGGGCCACUUCCUCGCUUGGGUCUCACUCGUGCCGGUCUUCAUUAGCCUCGGCGGCUUUGUUUCACACUUCAUCUUUCGUCGCGAGCUUCAAGGCAUAUUCUUCGCUAUCGGUCUCUUAAUCUCUCAAUUCAUCAACGAAGUGAUAAAAAAAUCGGUCCAACAAGCCCGGCCUGAAACGUGUGCGCUUUUAGAAAUGUGUGAUUCUCACGGUUGGCCCUCGAGUCACUCUCAGUACAUGUUCUUUUUCGCAGUCUAUUUUAGUCUUUUAAGCUGUCAAGGAAUCGGACUUUGGGGGAUAAAGAACAGGUGGUUUUUGAACGUUCUUCACUGGACUUUGGCUGUGCUGACUAUGUAUUCGAGGGUGUAUUUGGGGUACCAUACGGUGGCUCAAGUGUUUGCCGGGGCUACUUUGGGGAUUUUGGUUGGAGCGGGGUGGUUUUGGGUAGUGAAUUCUUUGUUGUGUUGUUAUUUUCCUGCAAUUGAAGACAGUGCUCUGGGGAAAUAUUUUUAUCUCAAGGAUACUUCUCAUAUUCCUGAUGUGUUGAAAUUCGAGUACGAUAAUGCGAGAGCUGCUAGGAAAGAUAAUGAUAAGGGUUAUAAGAGCAAUUGAUUGAUGAACUGUCAUCUGGGUUUAAUCAUUUGAUGCAAUCGUAGUGGGGAAAAAGUUCAGGCCAAGAUCUCAUACAUCAUAUUGUUCUUGUCAUCACCUUAGUUUUGUCAAUACUGGAGAUGAUUUUGCUUGAUUACAAGGUUGAUCGCUGCAAAUUUGUGUUAUGGAUCCUACUAUCGUUUGUACGGAUGAUCUGAUUAGGCGAUAGUCCUUGUUUGGAUUACUUGACCCUGGAAAUUGUAUGCAAAUGAGCUUGAGAACAGGCUUCGGAGACUAGACUGUGAUACAGUAGCAAAGGCAGCAGAUUAUAAUCGUUGCGGUGGUUUCUAUGUGAAAGAUGGAAGAACAGUUAUAGAAAACGAUGAUUUAAACUGCUUUUACAAAUAUAUAUGACACUAUAUUUAGUGAUAACUUCAGCAUCUUAUAAAUAGUUCAAAAAUUAAUUCCUUGGAAGAAGAGUUGGCAAUAUUAGUCAUAACGUUUCUUUAAA